UUUUUACAAUCCUUCUUCUUAAACUUACUUUUUUUUUUUUUAAAUCAGUCCAUUAGAUUUAGAAGAGAACACUUGAUGAGCUGCCACCAUUUAAUGCACAUGAAUAAAUGCAUGUACAUAUGUUGAAUCUAGAAUGCUUUUUAAACAUGCUAACUCUGAUAGUUCAGGAAGAACACACUGGUUGUUAGUUGACCUUCAUUAGCUUUUGUCAUUGGGAAAAAGUGUUUGUGUGAGCAUUUUUGCAAGAAUUGUGUGAGCUUAUGAACAUGUGACUGUUUGUGUCUCUUUUUUUUCCGUCAAGAAUCUUCUGUUUGUUAUUUACUUGGCAGGUUUAUUCUAUACUGAGGAGGACGAAACUCCAAAAGUUCAGGAUCACAAGCUCUUCAGCAGGAACUCACCCCUGUUUUCUUCAACAGCCUUCCGUACUGAUCUUUGGUCCUCCUUAAAACUGAUUUUAUCGGAGAUGCAUAGAAUGGUGGAUCUAUGAGAUAUUGCAGAUUUUACAAAUUGAAGGUUUGUGACAACUCCCUCAAGGAAGUCUGUUGGUGUUAUUUUUCCAACAGCAGGUACUCCAUGUCUGUGUCACAUUUUGGCCUUUAAGCCAAGAGAAGACAUACCUGAGCCAUUGAACCAGAAGGGCUGAGCCCCACCUGGAUCUGAUGCAGAUUAAAAUAUCCUGGACCUUGGGCCUGAGCUUGGAAUGGAAUAAGACCUUUGAGGAUCUUCUUGGAGAGUGAGU
This 739-nucleotide long non-coding RNA is filed under the name Papio anubis (olive baboon). RNAcentral describes it as "lncRNA (ENSPANG00000049142.1)". The record is from RNAcentral. Lineage: Eukaryota; Metazoa; Chordata; Mammalia; Primates; Cercopithecidae.